RNAcentral lists this transfer RNA (71 nucleotides) under Loxodonta africana (African savanna elephant). It matches the Rfam family "tRNA". Rfam says of the family: Transfer RNA (tRNA) molecules are approximately 80 nucleotides in length. Their secondary structure includes four short double-helical elements and three loops (D, anti-codon, and T loops). Lineage: Eukaryota; Metazoa; Chordata; Mammalia; Proboscidea; Elephantidae. The record is from Rfam by way of RNAcentral.
UUCUUGGUUGUUCCGUGGUAGAAUUCUCCUCUUCCAUGCGGGAGACCUGGGUUCGAUUCCCUGCCAAGGUA